GACUUGGGCACAGAUGGCCAGGAGGAAUAUCAUGUCAGUGAAGGCAGAGAGUGGAGAUUUGUUGACAUAACUCCAAACUGCCAAGGAUUGAUGGUUGGAAAUGAAGCAAAAAUGGCAGAGUCAGUUGCUGGAGGCCAUACAGUCAUCGGAAGUGCAGACUUAGGCCACGCGCUGUACCACGCAGUCAUCGGAAGUGCAGACUUAGGCCACGUGCUGCUUUCCAGGUGAAAAAUCUUGUGACUCAGCAUUAUUCAUCCCAGUCUUGCAGAUGAAGAAACUGUGGCUUAAAGAGGUGACCAGGCUGUAUUUGACUACUCUAAUGAUCUUGGGAGCCCUAGAUGAUCAGAAGUGAGCCUCCAAAAUGAGAAGAAGCUGGGCACAGAAUGAGCGAACAACACGGAGAAGUUCACUUUCCCUGAAAGCUCACAGCCCUCUUCUCUGCACACAGCUCAACACUUGGACGCAGAACAAGAUUUCCCCUAGCACGAAGCACGAGGCUUCCUCUUCAUGAAAAUGCAAACCACUGGCUGGAGCAGGUGCAGGCUGACUGAUGGGAUCCCAGCCCCUGGUACCUGCCUACAGAGCUUAGGAUCAGCCCUCCUGCCCUUUGUUUCUCUUUGCUCUUCAGACCAGUUUCAGGGAUGAAUUUGGAAAACAAGAGGCUA
Mastomys coucha (southern multimammate mouse) is the source of this 665-nucleotide long non-coding RNA. RefSeq lists it as uncharacterized. The record is from RefSeq and is a predicted model, not a curated record. Lineage: Eukaryota; Metazoa; Chordata; Mammalia; Rodentia; Muridae. The transcript is spliced from 5 exons.